RNAcentral lists this ribosomal RNA (545 nucleotides) under uncultured archaeon. RNAcentral describes it as "bacterial SSU rRNA". It matches the Rfam family "Archaeal small subunit ribosomal RNA", at positions 56 to 578 of the family's 1478-position model. The record is from RNAcentral.
AGUUGAGCGUCUCCAGCUAUGUGGAGGCGCGGCGUACGGCUCAGUAACACGUGGCUAACCUACCCUCAGGACGGGGACAAACCCGGGAAACUGGGGCUAAUACCCGAUAGGCGAGGAUGCCUGGAAUGGUUUUUCACCCAAAAGAUUUUGAGAGCAUGCUUUUUAAAGUCGCUUGGGGAUGGGGCCGCGUCCGAUCAGGUUGUUGGUGAGGUAACGGCUCACCAAGCCUAUAACCGGUACGGGCCGUGAGAGCGGUAGCCCGGAGAUGGGCACUGAGACAAGGGCCCAGGCCCUACGGGGCGCAGCAGUCGCGAAAACUCCGCAAUGCACGAAAGUGUGACGGGGCUACCCCGAGUGCCGUCCGCUGAGGAUGGCUUUUCCUCGGUGUAACUAGCCGGGGGAAUAAGGAGAGGGCAAGACUGGUGUCAGCCGCCGCGGUAAUACCAGCUCUCCGAGUGGUAGGGAUGAUUAUUGGGCUUAAAGCGUCCGUAGCUGGCUUAGCAAGUCUUCUGUUUAAUUCAGCGACCUAAUCGUUGAGCCGCGGG